ACAGGGAGCCUUUCAUAGUGUCCCAUGCUAGAGCAAACUAUCAUCCCAAACCACUGCCUGGCCUCGACCUGUGGGCUGCUGGCACUGAAGGGGGUUGCACAGAG
Molecule: small nucleolar RNA, 104 nt
Filed under: Dipodomys ordii (Ord's kangaroo rat)
Lineage: Eukaryota; Metazoa; Chordata; Mammalia; Rodentia; Heteromyidae
Description: Small nucleolar RNA SNORA42/SNORA80 family (ENSDORG00000020469.2)
Rfam family: Small nucleolar RNA SNORA42/SNORA80 family
About the family: The members of this family belong to the H/ACA class of snoRNAs that guide the sites of modification of uridines to pseudouridines.
Source: RNAcentral